Molecule: non-coding RNA, 1677 nt
Organism: Paramuricea clavata
Lineage: Eukaryota; Metazoa; Cnidaria; Anthozoa; Malacalcyonacea; Plexauridae
Source: the annotation of a GenBank genome assembly
CGCACAUAGUACAAGUAUUACUGUACAUUCAAAGCCAAAGGUAGUAUUUUAUUCGGCUUUAUAUUUGUAUGUGUAUUGAUAUCUAUUUAAUAUUUGAAUUCUAUGCCUUUCCGAGUAAUAUAUUGUGCGGCUAAUGUUUUGUAUUAUGGUUCAUGUUGCACAAUGUACACGCCUUGCGUCAAUUUGACAGUUGACAGUUUAUUUAUCGCAGUCGACGCUGAUUGGUUAGCGUUUAGCAGAUGCGAAAAGGGAUGAUUGAAUAAAACGCAUGGUUCCGUGCAGGCUCACCUUUCUCCCAGUGAGCCUGUUCGCAGGCUAGGGUUUGUUAGAGAAGUACUGCCCUUGCCCCCCCCAAAAAAAAAAAACAACAUGGGACCCCCUGGAGGUUUGUAGGUGCGACUUGACGCUUAUACCUGUUGAAACACCUGUUUUACCUGUUCCACUCACAACUGUGGAGAACCCUGGAUAAUGUCGACACUUACAGUAACAUUACUUAUGAGUUAUCCGUGUAGAUGGUUAGCUGCAAAGGGCAGGGCCGUAGGAAGCUCUUUUCGAUUGGGAGGGGGGGGGGAGGUCUGAAAGCGAGGCCCGAGGAAAUUUUUAAAUUUAGGGUCUCUGAAAUGCCAUUUCCUGGACUUUGAGGAAGAUUUGACAGAAUUCUGAUGGUCAGAAAACAGCGUUUUAGUAUGUCGAGAUUUACAAUUUAGUAGUACUAAAUGGGCGAAGGCGUAUUUAAUCAACUAUAUAUUGGAUAAGUUGCAGGAAAGUAUGGGUAAUAUCUUCAUUCUUUGCAGGGUCUGCAUGAUUUUGAAAAAAGAACAGCAUAUUAUUGGGGGGGGGGGGAUUGCAGCCCCCCCCCAGUUGCUACGGCCCUGGAGGGUGGUUUACCAAACAUUUGCAAUUACUCGGAUUCAGGUCAAGGGGCAUGUAGCAAUGUUUAGUAUCCACCUAGCUGACCAUAGCCUAUCGAUGGCUGUGAAACUUAUUAGAAUAACAAUAUAACUCAUCUAUGUUAGUCAACGUUUAUUCAUAAAUCUGGUCCUCCACCGUCACGUGUGUAUUGUAUUUUUGCCCAACUAACCAAUAAAAUACAAUACACACGUGACGGUGAAGGACCAGAUUUAUGAAUAAACGUUGACUAACAUAGAUAAUGAGUUAUAAUAUAUUGUUAAAUUCUAAUAAGUUUCACAGCCAUCUUCCCUUCGAUGUGCUAUGACCUGACCAACCGUUUGAAUGUUUCUAAUUACCUUUGCAAAUUUGAGGCCUGUUUCAUACGUCGAAUUUAAUUACGGGAUCAGAAAGACAGAAACAGACUUUAAACGUAAUUUAUGCAUUUAAUUUGAUAAGACGUCGUAUGAAACGAAGACGCGCUACAGACGUGUGGAUACACGAAAUAUCUGAACAUAACGGAUAAAACGUCUUGGACGAAUUUAAUAGGCAAUUCCAGCUUUUAGUUUAUGCCUGCAGGGGAUGAUGGGAAGUAAUGUAUCAUAUUUAACAAUUAUUCGCCGAAGGCGAGGUGAUUAUCGGGGAACUGAUAUUCGCCGAGACGAAGUCGAGGUGAAUAUUCACCGAGCCUGAGGCGAAUAAUUGUUUUAGUAUUUUUACACAAGUCUUUUGUGUUUUUGGGCCUGAAUUUGUUUUAAUUUCGCUUAUUUCUUUAUCAGUAACUUCCAC